CUGGAGCACAAAAACACAUGCUGAACAAUUUUUAUUUUCUUCAAGGAGCAAGGAUGGAAUCUGUCUUUAUAUGGGAUACUGUUGAAUCUUCCCUGGAGGAGACCAGAAGUAGAUGGCAUGAUGCAUUAAAGGAACUCAGAUCAGCAGUCUGGAGGGUUUCAAUCCACAAUUUUUUUCCUGAAAUAAGUUGAAACAAACCAGGCAAUGCCUGACUCGAAAGGACCACCAAAUGUGUAAAAAAAGAGCCUAUUUUCUUACUGCAUUUCCAACAUACAGAAUCCAAUCUAAAGCAUUCUCAUUUAAAUUGAAACCUCAUGUAUCUCUGUCCAACUUUAAAAAAUCAUACCAUUGUUCAUAUAUAAACCAGAGAGGCUGGUGAAAUGGCCAGGAGGCCAUCAGCUGGG
Molecule: long non-coding RNA, 404 nt
Organism: Sphaerodactylus townsendi
Lineage: Eukaryota; Metazoa; Chordata; Lepidosauria; Squamata; Sphaerodactylidae
Exons: 4
Source: RefSeq, a predicted model, not a curated record